UUCCGGCUUUCCAUCAGCCGGAUUAACUGUAGAGGCACACCAUCAUUGCCGGAAGUGCGGUAGGGACCACCCUCCAAUCCAUGGCAGACAAAGCGGAUAACAUGCUCUCAGGCAAGAGGGCGUUUAUCCACCGUUCCGCGUUCAAUCGCUGACACGUCGC
Regulatory RNA element from Rhizobium oryziradicis, 160 nucleotides. It matches the Rfam family "speF leader". Rfam says of the family: This family is a putative regulatory RNA structure that is found upstream of the speF gene encoding ornithine decarboxylase in Agrobacterium tumefaciens and other alpha-proteobacteria. Lineage: Bacteria; Pseudomonadati; Pseudomonadota; Alphaproteobacteria; Hyphomicrobiales; Rhizobiaceae. The record is from Rfam.